GUAUCGUUCAUGUAGAAAGAAUUUUGCUGAACUUAAUUUCAGCUCAUUUUGAGAGAUGAGAUGUGGCAUGUUCGACGACAAUUUGGAAGAUACAGCAAAA
Xenia sp. Carnegie-2017 is the source of this 100-nucleotide long non-coding RNA. RefSeq lists it as uncharacterized. The record is from RefSeq and is a predicted model, not a curated record. NCBI's taxonomy places the organism in Eukaryota, Metazoa, Cnidaria, Anthozoa, Malacalcyonacea, Xeniidae. The transcript has 2 exons.